ACCGCGAAAAACCUUACCCACCUUUGACAUGUACGGAAGUUACCAGAGAUGGUUUCGUGCUCGAAAGAGAACCGUAACACAGGUGCUGCAUGGCUGUCGUCAGCUCCUGUCGUGAGAUGUUGGGUUAAGUCCCGCAACGAGCGCAACCCUUGUCAUUAGUUGCUACGAAAGGGCACUCUAAUGAGACUGCCGGUGACAAACCGGAGGAAGGUGGGGAUGACGUCAAGUCCUCAUGGCCCUUAUAGGUGGGGCUACACACGUCAUACAAUGGCUGGUACAGAGGGUUGCCAACCCGCGAGGGGGAGCUAAUCCCAUAAAACCAGUCGUAGUCCGGAUCGCAGUCUGCAACUCGACUGCGUGAAGUCGGAAUCGCUAGUAAUCGCGGAUCAGAAUGUCGCGGUGAAUACGUUCCCGGGUCUUGUACACACCGCCCGUCACA
This 439-nucleotide ribosomal RNA is filed under the name uncultured Burkholderiales bacterium. RNAcentral's name for it is "bacterial SSU rRNA". It matches the Rfam family "Bacterial small subunit ribosomal RNA", at positions 958 to 1401 of the family's 1533-position model. The record is from RNAcentral. Lineage: Bacteria; Pseudomonadati; Pseudomonadota; Betaproteobacteria; Burkholderiales.